Non-coding RNA from Stegodyphus dumicola, 73 nucleotides. The record is from the annotation of a RefSeq genome assembly. NCBI's taxonomy places the organism in Eukaryota, Metazoa, Arthropoda, Arachnida, Araneae, Eresidae.
GCCUUCGUAGUGCAGUGGUCAGCACACUGGGCGCUUAUUCCAGAGGUCCGUGGUUCGACUCCCGGCGGGGGCG